GAUGAACGCUGGCGGCGUGCCUAACACAUGCAAGUCGAGCGUGAUUUAUGAGGACGAAACUUCGGUCUAGGAAUCAUAAUGAAAGCGGCGGACGGGUGAGUAACGCGUAGGCAACCUGCCCUUAACACAGGGAUAGCCUCGGGAAACCGGGAUUAAAACCUGAUGAUGCCAAAGAGCAACAUGGCUCGUUGGCCAAAGAUUUAUAGGUUAAGGAUGGGCCUGCGUCUGAUUAGUUUGUUGGGAGGGGAACGGCCUAGCAAGGCUACGACCAGUAGCCAACCGAGGAGGGGGAUCGGCCCCAGUGGAACGGAGACACGGUCCAAACUACUACGGGAGGCAGCAGUGGGGAAUAUUGCACAAUGGGCGAAAGCCUGAUGCAGCAACGCCGCGGGAGCGAUGAAGGCCUUUGUGUCGUAAAACUCUGUCCUUGGGGAAGAAACAAAUGACGGUACCCAAGGAGGAAGCCCCGGCUAACUACGUGCCAGCAGCCGCAGUAA
Molecule: ribosomal RNA, 497 nt
Filed under: uncultured bacterium
Lineage: Bacteria
Description: partial 16S ribosomal RNA
Rfam family: Bacterial small subunit ribosomal RNA
Source: RNAcentral